AUGCGUGUGAGCAGGAUCUAUGCACGUGUUUCCGUUGUUAUACUUGUUUUGGAGACUGAGGUAGCUCAGUGUGCUUUGCCGUCACUUUCGUGUCUGUGUGAGGUUGUAAACGACGGUUCUGUUCUUGCUGGUGUAGAACUUGAGCUCCCAGGGGACGGUUCUGCUCCAGUGCCACAAAGAGAUUUUUUUAGCUCGGCUUGGUGUGGUUUUAUGAAUAGCUAUGAGCAGGCUGCUCUACAGGUCUUGCGUAUUUUGCAAGGUUUAUAUGGACUUUUCGUUCAUGACAAUAACUAUGAAUGUAUGAUGGCCUAUAGGAGAUCUUUCUGUUCAAGAACAUUGCGGUUUCUUUGA
This 351-nucleotide ribosomal RNA is filed under the name Triticum aestivum (bread wheat). RNAcentral describes it as "partial small subunit ribosomal RNA". Lineage: Eukaryota; Viridiplantae; Streptophyta; Magnoliopsida; Poales; Poaceae. The record is from RNAcentral.